AAAAAAAAAAAAAAAAAAAAAAAAAAAAAAAAAAAAAAAAAAAAACAAAUGAGAAAAAAGAGAAGCAAAUAGAAUAUAUUGAAUGACGUAGUCGGAUGUUGAAGCUUUUUUCCCUCAUGAGGUGAGCCAUAAUUGUGACAACUUGGAUCGUUAAUGAUUUGAGUGUCACUAAAAUUUAAAUUAAACUUAAAUAAAAAGGUUGAAAUAAAUAAAUGGGAUUUUUAUAAAAAUAAUUAUGAUUCAACAUUAUUCAUAAUAAGUGUAUUUUAAAGAAAAUACGUUUGACAUAAGAAAAUCUUGAAAUGAAUUCAACAUAAAAUAAAUAAAAUUCGACAUAAUUUCAUGAAAUUAUUUUAAAUAUCCCUCAUCUUUGCAUCAACCGCAUUGAAUCAAUAAUUUUCUAAAAAAGGAAAAAAAGAACAUAAUGUGAGAUAAAAAUCUCAAUAAGUGUGCGUGAGUAAAUUUUGUUCACGUAUAUGCAUCUUAUGAAUCUUUGCAUCGACCGCAUCGAAUCAUUAAUUUUUUGAAAGAGGAAAAAAGAACAUAAUGUGAGAUGAAAAUCUCAAUAAGUGUGUGUGAAUAAAUUUUGUUCAUGUAUAUGCAUUUUAUGGAAAUUUUAUACUUGCAUAGGGAGACUACGAAAAUUGGACUUAACUUAGCCCCCGUUUGGCCACCAUUAUUUCUCAUUAAAUUAUAAUUUAUUUUUCUAUCUUCUUAUCAAUCACACGUUUUCUAUUAAAA
RNAcentral lists this long non-coding RNA (741 nucleotides) under Olea europaea (common olive). Its description in RNAcentral is "long non-coding RNA (OEUR_LNC013229)". Lineage: Eukaryota; Viridiplantae; Streptophyta; Magnoliopsida; Lamiales; Oleaceae. The record is from RNAcentral.